Long non-coding RNA from Nymphaea colorata (pocket water lily), 655 nucleotides. RefSeq lists it as uncharacterized. Lineage: Eukaryota; Viridiplantae; Streptophyta; Magnoliopsida; Nymphaeales; Nymphaeaceae. The transcript has 2 exons. The record is from RefSeq and is a predicted model, not a curated record.
CUACAAUCGCAAGUGGUUCCCCUUAAGGUCCUCUCAUCCUUAUCCCCUGAUGACUUUAAAAAGGAGGAACCCGCAGUGUCGAUGUCUACUUGUAACUCAAAAAUCGGUUGAGAAAGUGCAGAGAAGAAUGCAAAUGGAGAAGCAGAAUGAAGGAGCGCCAAGCUUCCUGAAUAUUUCCAUCGUAGAAAGAAAGGAGGAAUACGUGUCGGUCCCUCCUCCCCGCCGGAACCAGAGCAUGCCGGCUACAAAAGAGAAACAAGUCUCUGCAUCGUCCUUGGAAGGCUGCCCACAGCUCCUGCAGCUGUGGUGUGGCCAGCAAUGGAGCACAAGAUCAGGGAAUGAACAUGAGGUUUUGGAUCAUCUUAAUAGGUUCUGAUAGAAUAGCAUGAAGUAUCUGACGGGUUCGUUUCAUGGAGAAGUAUGGUAGUGUUCUACCACACCUGUAUGGUGUUCUGUGUUAACAGGGUCAUCUUCCAUGCGAUCGCCUGAUCUUCUCUCUGCGCUAUAAGUGUUUCACUUUCCUCUACUGUUUAUCCGGUAACUGAGUCUGUAAUCCAUGAUCAGCUCUUGGAGCCAACUUGGUUUGAGUCCAGAGAAAAAUCUAAUAAGGAUCUUCUAUCAAGUUGCGCUGCAGAGAACAAAAAUCUUGAAUUUU